CCUACGGGUGGCAGCAGUCGAGAAUCAUGCACAAUGGGGGAAACCCUGAUGGUGCGACGCCGCGUGGGGGAAUGAAGGUCUUCGGAUUGUAAACCCCUGUCAUGUGGGAGCAAAUUAAAAAGAUAGUACCACAAGAGGAAGAGACGGCUAACGCUGUGCCAGCAGCCGCGGUAAUACAGAGGCAUCAAGCGUUGUUCGGAAUCACUGGGCGUAAAGCGUGCGUAGGCUGUGUCGUAAGUCGUGUGUGAAAGGCGCGGGCUCAACCCGCGGACGGCACAUGAUACUGCGCGUCUAGAGUAAUGGAGGGGGAACCGGAAUUCUCGGUGUAGCAGUGAAAUGCGUAGAUAUCGAGAGGAACACUCGUGGCGAAGGCGGGUUGCUGGACAUUAACUGACGCUGAGGCACGAAGGCCAGGGGAGCGAAAGGGAUUAGAUACCCCUGUAGUC
Molecule: ribosomal RNA, 446 nt
Filed under: uncultured bacterium
Lineage: Bacteria
Description: partial 16S ribosomal RNA
Rfam family: Bacterial small subunit ribosomal RNA
Source: RNAcentral